UACAGAGGUCUCAAGCGUUGUUCGGAUUCAUUGGGCGUAAAGGGUGCGUAGGUGGCGGGGUAAGUCAGGUGUGAAAUCUCGGGGCUCAACCCCGAAACUGCACUUGAUACUGCCUUGCUUGAGUACUGGAGAGGAGGUUGGAAUUUACGGUGUAGCAGUGAAAUGCGUAGAUAUCGUAAGGAAGACCAGUGGCGAAGGCGAAUCUCUGGACAGUUACUGACACUGAGGCACGAAGGCCAGGGGAGCAAACGGG
RNAcentral lists this ribosomal RNA (253 nucleotides) under uncultured bacterium. RNAcentral's name for it is "partial 16S ribosomal RNA". It matches the Rfam family "Bacterial small subunit ribosomal RNA", at positions 524 to 776 of the family's 1533-position model. The record is from RNAcentral.